UAAAUUUUUAAGUCUUAAAAUUUGUAAUCUCUGUAGCACAAUGUCUUGUGGUGGACGUCCAUCCUUGUCCUUUGUCACGUCGAAGACAUGCUCUAGUUGAGAACAAUCAGUUAUCUGAAUAGAUUCCAAAUAUGGAAGUCCUUGAGCCAAAGUGAUUGGAAACACAUAUUUUAAUCUUUCGCAAUUAAUUAUCUUGAGAGUUCUCAACUUAGGCCAACAGAGAGGACAAUCAUCCAUGUUUGAAACUAUCUCAUCCUCAUUUUCUGCUUCUCCAAAGAUUAUAUGUUCCAUUGAGUCGCAAUGGCUUAUUUUGAGUUCUUCCAAAUGCACCAAACUUUGAGCAAGGGGAGUUGGAAAGAGAUAUACCACCUUCAAACACUUCUCUAUUCUCAUAGUCUUCAGACUUUGGAGUUUAACAAGAUGGAUGGGCCCUUUCCAUAUCCACUUCAAUUCUGGUAAUGCGGAUAGCUCCAAAUAAGUUAAAUCAGAGAGUGGGCGUACCUGACAUGAAUUCAUUGAUUGAAAAUGUAUAUAAAUAUAUUGACAAGACAUACAUACAAAGGUAAUAAUAAUAAUUAUUGAAUAAUAUAUUAUUAAAUAGAGAAUAAAAAAAGAGAAAAAAUAUAAUGACUUUAUAAAGUGUGUUAAUAAAGAGAAAAAAAAGAUACAUGACGGUAGUUUUCUCAACCUGUAAGCUAUGUAAUAAAUAAACAUUUAAAUUAAUUACUAAUAUAAUUUAAUUAAACUUUCUUUCUUUCAAACUUAAACAAAAGUUAAUUAUAUGAAGAAUACAUAAAAUUUAAUAUUUUCUUACUAUUUAUUAAAAGAGAAAUAGAAAAAGAAGAGGUACCUCAAGCUCAACCAUUUCUUGAGAAAAAUUAAAGAUUUGCUCUAAUCCUUCACAGAAUUGUACGGAGAGUUGUUGCAGAUGCAACAAACUAUGAGCAAGGGGAGUUGGAAAGAGAUAUGCCAGCUUCAAACACUUCUGUAUUCUCAUAGUCUUAAGACUUCGGAGUUCAACAAGAUGGGUGGGCCCUUCUUGUGGUGGACGUCCAUCCUUGUCCUUUGUCACAUCGAAGACAUGCUCUAGUUGAGAACAAUCAGUUAUCUGAAUAGAUUCCAAAUAUGGAAGUCCUUGAGCCAAAGUGAUUGGAAACACAUAUUUUAAUCUUUCGCAAUUAAUUAUCUCGAGAGUUC
RNAcentral lists this long non-coding RNA (1197 nucleotides) under Durio zibethinus. RNAcentral's name for it is "long non-coding RNA (DZIB_LNC001986)". Lineage: Eukaryota; Viridiplantae; Streptophyta; Magnoliopsida; Malvales; Malvaceae. The record is from RNAcentral.